RNAcentral lists this ribosomal RNA (788 nucleotides) under uncultured archaeon. RNAcentral describes it as "bacterial SSU rRNA". It matches the Rfam family "Archaeal small subunit ribosomal RNA", at positions 115 to 904 of the family's 1478-position model. The record is from RNAcentral.
UAUGGACGGGAAUAACCUCGGGAAACUGAGAAUAAUGCCCGAUAGAACAUUAUGCCUGGAAUGGUUUAUGUUCCAAAUGAUUUAUCGCCGUAGGAUGGGACUGCGGCCUAUCAGUUUGUUGGUGAGGUAAUGGCCCACCAAGACUAUUACAGGUACGGGCUCUGAGAGGAGUAGCCCGGAGAUGGGUACUGAGACACGGACCCAGGCCCUAUGGGGCGCAGCAGGCGAGAAAACUUUGCAAUGUGCGAAAGCACGACAAGGUUAAUCCGAGUGAUUUGUGCUAAACAAAUCUUUUGUUAGUCCUAGAAACACUAACGAAUAAGGGGUGGGCAAGUUCUGGUGUCAGCCGCCGCGGUAAAACCAGCACCUCAAGUGGUCAGGAUGAUUAUUGGGCCUAAAGCAUCCGUAGCCGGCUCUGUAAGUUUUCGGUUAAAUCUGUACGCUCAACGUACAGGCUGCCGGGAAUACUGCAAAGCUAGGGAGUGGGAGAAGUAGACGGUACUCGGUAGGAAGUGGUAAAAUGCUUUGAUCUAUCGAUGACCACCUGUGGCGAAGGCGGUCUACUAGAACACGUCCGACGGUGAGGGAUGAAAGCUGGGGGAGCAAACCGGAUUAGAUACCCGGGUAGUCCCAGCUGUAAACUAUGCAAACUCAGUGAUGCAUUGGCUUGUGGCCAAUGCAGUGCUGCAGGGAAGCCGUUAAGUUUGCCGCCUGGGAAGUACGUACGCAAGUAUGAAACUUAAAGGAAUUGGCGGGGGAGCACCACAAGGGGUGAAGCCUGCGGUUCA